CAAAAAAGGUCAAGACAGACUAUUAUGUUGCUAAAAACAGUAUAUUUAUAUAACUUUUUAUGAUAUUUCCUGAAGGUAUUCUGAAAAAUCGGGAGAAUUUGAUAAAAAUCUGAAGACCGGGAGAUUGCAUGAAUUUUCGGGAGACUCCGGGUAAAAUCGGGAGAGUUGGAAUGUCUGGAGGCACACCGCAAUUAACUCAUUAAGCUGCAGAGUAAAGUAAAGAAAAUAAGUAGGGCG
Non-coding RNA from Paramuricea clavata, 237 nucleotides. Lineage: Eukaryota; Metazoa; Cnidaria; Anthozoa; Malacalcyonacea; Plexauridae. The record is from the annotation of a GenBank genome assembly.